CAUUUUUUUUAUAUCAAACGUUUGACCGUCCGUCUUAUUUAAAAAAAUUUAUGAUUAGUAUUUUUUUUGGUUGUUAUUAGAUUAUAAAACAUGAAUAAUACUUUAUGUGUGACUAUUCUUUUUUGAAAAAAUAUAAUUUUUCAGAUAAGACAUACGGUUAAAAGUUGAAUUCGGAAUCUCACAACUGCACUGAGA
Molecule: microRNA precursor, 195 nt
Organism: Oryza rufipogon (brownbeard rice)
Lineage: Eukaryota; Viridiplantae; Streptophyta; Magnoliopsida; Poales; Poaceae
Rfam family: MIR812 microRNA precursor family
Source: Rfam